AUUUGCACAUGGGCGCAAGCCUGNAUGCAGCCAUGCCCGCGUGUAUGAAGAAGGCCUUCGGGUUGUAAAGUACUUUCAGCGGGGAGGAAGGCGUUGUGGUUAAUAACC
Molecule: ribosomal RNA, 108 nt
Filed under: uncultured bacterium
Lineage: Bacteria
Description: partial 16S ribosomal RNA
Rfam family: Bacterial small subunit ribosomal RNA
Source: RNAcentral